Molecule: ribosomal RNA, 485 nt
Filed under: uncultured bacterium
Lineage: Bacteria
Description: SSU rRNA
Rfam family: Bacterial small subunit ribosomal RNA
Source: RNAcentral
AGAAUCAACGCUGGCGGCGUGCCUAACACAUGCAAGUCGAACGAGAAAGGGGCUUCGGCCCUGAUUGAGUGGCGAACGGGUGAGUAUCACGUGGGUGAUCUACCUUUGAGUGGGGGAUAACGUUCCGAAAGGAACGCUAAUACCGCAUGACGUUCUGGGUUUGAAGACCUGGAAACCAAAGCCGGGGACCGUAAGGCCUGGCGCUUGGAGAGGAGCCCGCGCCUGAUUAGCUAGUUGGUGAGGUAACGGCUCACCAAGCCUACGAUCCUUAGCUGAUCUGAGAGGAUGAUCAGCCACACUGGGACUGAGACACGGCCCAGACUCCUACGGGAGGCAGCAGUGGGGAAUCUUGGACAAUGGGCGCAAGCCUGAUCCAGCCAUGCCGCGUGAGUGAAGAAGGCCUUCGGGUUGUAAAGCUCUUUUACCAGGGACGAUAAUGACGGUACCUGGAGAAUAAGCCCGGCAAACUUCGUGCCAGCAGCCGC